UACGUAGGGCGCAAGCGUUAUCCGGAAUUAUUGGGCGUAAAGAGCUCGUAGGCGGUUUGUCGCGUCUGCCGUGAAAGUCCGGGGCUCAACUCCGGAUCUGCGGUGGGUACGGGCAGACUAGAGUGAUGUAGGGGAGACUGGAAUUCCUGGUGUAGCGGUGAAAUGCGCAGAUAUCACUUGGAACGCCAAAGGUGAAGACAGUCUGCUGGGGACUUGCUGACGCUGAGACACGAAAGCCAGGGGAGCGAACGGG
This 253-nucleotide ribosomal RNA is filed under the name uncultured bacterium. Its description in RNAcentral is "partial 16S ribosomal RNA". It matches the Rfam family "Bacterial small subunit ribosomal RNA", at positions 524 to 776 of the family's 1533-position model. The record is from RNAcentral.